UUUGUAAAAUACAUCACAGAACUAGAUUGACACAGAAGUAGGAAGAGAAAAUUAAGAAACUCUGUAUGUAACUGGAGGAAGGAAAGAACCAGUAAGGGUAAGGACAUGCACUUAUCAGUAGAGGGACUGAUAAAUGGUGCCAACAGAAAGAUUAACAGAGAGAAGACCUUUCAUGAUAACUUCAUUUACAUGCAGGAAAACUGAUAUGUCAAGUUAUCUAAGAAACUGAAGGAAGAGAAGCCUAAGAUAGAACUAGAACAUGUACAGCACACUCCAACUAUGAUUAGGUAACAGCAACAGACACUAAGAAGAAGAAAGCCCCACAACUACAAAGCAGCCAUAACCAAGUUAUAGCUGCAUGGUUGGCUAGGAAUUCUGCAACAGGUCACCUGCACCACCAGAUACAGAGUUCUGUUAUAUGGCACGUGACUUUGCACAAACAUACUGCACAGAACACCAAGAAGCAGUAAUGGACUGGGCAGAGAACUGCAUCAACUGAUAUGGAUGAUAAAUCGUGCUGGAAGAUUGUAUCCCUGAGUUACACGUACUUCUCCUGUGCGGCAUUCUAGAAGAAAGCAGACCUUAAAGUAAUCAAAAAUUUCAAAACUGAGUUAAGCAUCCUGGAACUGUUACAGUAUAACAAGUAUAAACUGAAACAAUGUCUCAACAGAUAUGCUUACAGGAUGAGUGGUGCAUCUGUUAUAAGAAAAUCAAGAGCUGAAGAUAUGAUUUAAUAGUGACGAAGGAAAGAAGUAAAAUGGAAAAUGUGAGAUACAUGAAAACUGGAGACAAACAGCAUUUCCAAGCCAUUUCUGAGUCCUUACAUUUAACAAAACAUCAACAUUUAGCAUGAGUUAGAGCACAGUUUUCCCUUCCAUUUUUUUCCCUUGAACUUUUCCACUUCUUUCAUUUUGUCCAGAUAGGUAUAAACAAAUGUGAAUGCUAGAAGACCCACAGCAUUUAUUGUUUUGAUUAUUCCUGAUGCAGUGAUUGGAAAAGCAGGUGCUCUCAUUAAAGUGUACAUUAAUCUUUACUGUCAUAAGAUCAGCAGAAAUCAUAUCCAUCACAGUAGUAAAAUUAACCGAACUAUAGGUCUCAAAUCCAUAAUAAUAUUUCUUUGACAAAUUUUGUGCACUCAGAUAUAUCAAUACCACAAAGAAGAUGCAGAAAAAGAAGUGAUUAGAAAAUCAUACUUUGCACAUCCAACAGAAUAAUGUCAUUCCUUAUUUAAAAUGUUGCAAGUCUUUAUGGCUAUCCCUAUAUGUUUACAAUAUUUUGAUGUUUUUAAAGAGUGCAAUAUAAUUAUUUAAUCUACAAUUUGUACAAUACAAGUAACCACGACUAACUGAAAUUAUAUGCCCAGACUCCACAAUAUUUGAGAUUGGAAGUUUUAAUGAAACUUUGCUUGAGAUGCACUAAUGGUCAAUCAACAAGUACAUGACCAAUGAAUUAAUAAUCUGAACAGGGUGUUACUUGUGACAGUACAAAACUGUCUAGCCACAGGAGCAACCAAUAUUACUGUAAGAUAAAACUGUCACUCAUUAGCUGCAGUCUUACAAUAAUGAAGCUACCCCACAAAUUUGUGAUGUUUGUCCAGUACCUUAAUUGAGUCUUUGUAAACUUUCAUUGUGAGAUGAAAAAUUCACUGUCACUGAGAGGUGACUUAAUGAAAGACCAUAAAUUAACAUUAAGUUAUGUUCAUAUGUGCAUCUGUACUCUGUGUUUUUAAAAUAAAUUUAUUUUAUGAAGUAACUAAACUGAGAUUGUUGGCGUAUAAAUACAAUAAUUUUGAGAGAUUUAUUUUUUUUGUUCCAACUCAGUUACAUGAUUCACAAACAUGUAAAAAAAAAAACACAGUUUCAGAUGGGAUAAUGCUAUAUGCAGACAGUUGGGGUAUACAAAUUCCUUCCCAGGGGGAAAGGGAUGGAGACAGAAAGGGCAUGUGGCCACCCUCUGUCACUAAAAUUGCUGAAUCCAGUAAUUAACAUCUUGACCCCAUGAUGCUAUGGGACAAAGACCAGGAAAAAAGAAGCAGAUUUCUAUGUACACAUUUUAGGUUUCUGUUGACAAAAAGUUGUUACAUGCAACAAAAAUGAUGUUUUUUUAAUUAAUUUUUUAUUCCUGUUUCCCAAAGUUGUCUUAAGACUGCCAAUUAUUCAUGAGGGAAGUAUCACAUUGCCUACAUGUUUUUCUACUGUUUUGCAUUUACUACAAGAAAUUCUCAUAUGUAACAACAUGUUAAUAUGAAAUUUAUUAUGAAUUACUUGCAAUUUUUUCCCUUAAGACUAUGAAAUGCCAUAAUCAGUGUUGACAGAUUUAUGUUUUUAAAUGUAUGAUAAAGAGAUAACAACUCGUGCAUCAUGGCUUACUCCAUCUCACAGAAUAAUCUCAAUCCUCUACAAAAAUAAUCAUCACCUUUGUCCUAAACAUACUAUCUCUUCAAUCAAAAAUAUUUCUCAGAGUUAAAAUGAUAGGUAGUAUUUUUCUCGGAACUAUAUCAUCUUCAUCCAUGCUUUGCAAUGUGUACUUUUUGGAGAGAGAUCUUUUGCCCAGUCUUCAAAACACAGUUUUUCAUUGUCUUUCAUCUUCAGUAGUGUUAAUGGCAAGCCAUAUUAGGGACUUUAUCAAUAUGAUGUUCUUGUAAACACACUGUAUGCAAUAUCUCUUCAGUCAGCCUGUGUAACAGGACAUUUUAAAAAUAUCCUGUUCUAUUUUUAAUGUUCGUACCAGCUAAAGAUGACUGUGGUAGUUGAUAUACAUUAAAUAGCAUAGAAAAAAGGAACAGGUACUGUUUGCCCUGUCUGUGUUGUACAGAGGGUACAUGAGCAGUAGCAACAAGAGCAGUGGCAAGUUGUCAGAGGAUGAGCACCACUCACUUGCUGUACAAGGAUAUGGAUAUGCUUUGACGCUUCAAGUCAGCGGUGUCAUGGAUGGCUUGGAGUAAGACAGCCACCAACAAUGACAAUAAUGACCCAAAAUUAAUCACUUUCUGAUUUAAGAAAAAUGAACUUUGGUGUAUGGCCUAUGGAUCACAUAUAUAAUAUUUUAUUGAUGAUUUAGACUAUUGUGAGUUGUAAUUAAGGGGAUCUGUCAUUGUGAGAGAGGAAGAAUUUAAAAUAUA
Schistocerca cancellata (South American locust) is the source of this 3121-nucleotide long non-coding RNA. RefSeq lists it as uncharacterized. NCBI's taxonomy places the organism in Eukaryota, Metazoa, Arthropoda, Insecta, Orthoptera, Acrididae. The transcript is spliced from 3 exons. The record is from RefSeq and is a predicted model, not a curated record.